CAGCAGCCGCCGCGGUAAAACGGAGGGUGCAAGCGUUAUCCGGAUUUAUUGGGUUUAAAGGGUCCGUAGGCGGAUCUGUAAGUCAGUGGUGAAAUCUCACAGCUUAACUGUGAAACUGCCAUUGAUACUGCAGGUCUUGAGUAAAUUUGAAGUGGCUGGAAUAAGUAGUGUAGCGGUGAAAUGCAUAGAUAUUACUUAGAACACCAAUUGCGAAGGCAGGUCACUAAGAUUUAACUGACGCUGAUGGACGAAAGCGUGGGGAGCGAACAGGAUUAAAGACCCCAGUAGUCCCUGUCUCUUAUAC
Molecule: ribosomal RNA, 304 nt
Filed under: uncultured bacterium
Lineage: Bacteria
Description: partial 16S ribosomal RNA
Rfam family: Bacterial small subunit ribosomal RNA
Source: RNAcentral